AACGCGAAGAACCUUACCAAGGCUUGACAUACACCGGAAAGCAUUAGAGAUAGUGCCCCCCUUGUGGUCGGUGUACAGGUGGUGCAUGGCUGUCGUCAGCUCGUGUCGUGAGAUGUUGGGUUAAGUCCCGCAACGAGCGCAACCCUUGUUCUGUGUUGCCAGCAUGCCCUUCGGGGUGAUGGGGACUCACAGGAGACCGCCGGGGUCAACUCGGAGGAAGGUGGGGACGACGUCAAGUCAUCAUGCCCCUUAUGUCUUGGGCUGCACACGUGCUACAAUGGCCGGUACAAUGAGCUGCGAUACCGUGAGGUGAAGCGAAUCUCAAAAAGCCGGUCUCAGUUCGGAUUGGGGUCUGCAACCCGACCCCAUGAAGUCGGAGUCGCUAGUAAUCGCAUAUCAGCAUUGCUGCGGUGAAUACGUUCCCGGGCCUUGUACACACCG
This 441-nucleotide ribosomal RNA is filed under the name Streptomyces sp. hong13-1. Its description in RNAcentral is "bacterial SSU rRNA". It matches the Rfam family "Bacterial small subunit ribosomal RNA", at positions 958 to 1392 of the family's 1533-position model. Lineage: Bacteria; Bacillati; Actinomycetota; Actinomycetes; Kitasatosporales; Streptomycetaceae. The record is from RNAcentral.